This is a long non-coding RNA of Rhinopithecus roxellana (golden snub-nosed monkey), 1866 nucleotides long. The record is from Ensembl. Lineage: Eukaryota; Metazoa; Chordata; Mammalia; Primates; Cercopithecidae.
CGCGCGGGCCGGCGGCGCCCCCGGGUCCGCGCUCCUGCGGCGGGGCUCCGCGGCCGAGACCGGUCCGGGAGGCCCGAAACGCCUCCCACCGGGGGAACUUCUCCGCCGACUUUUGGGGCUCUCGGGACGCAGACCGCCCCAGCGGCGGCCUCGGCCCCGCGAGUUCUGCUGGAAGCGGGGAGGGCCUAGCGUCUCAGGUGAGUUCCCUGUUCCCUAGACCGGCCGGACACCCGGAGGCUGCACUCACCUGGCGGGGCCUCAGACGCCCGGCGGCCUCGCUCGCUUCCCUAAACAGAGGGCUUGCCAGUGUGCGGGGUCCCAGGGAGAAGAAGCUGCUGGGAAGACACUGGAUCGCCCAGGACCCAGCAUGGGUGAAGGGGCAUGUUGAACAGGGCAAAGGUGUGAGUCACCCCUAAUGGAGGUGGGAGAACAGGAGGCAUGGUGGGAGGCCCCAUCCCAACAAGUCACAUUCAUGUUCACAAGGGCUCCUGCCAAGGACCCAUCUUGGAACCUGGAGAUCAGUGUCCCACAUGGCCUUCCCUUUGCUGCUGUAGAUGCAACUUCACCUCCCUGCGUUCCCCUGGCAAGUGGGGUCUGCUGCUUGGGCAGUCACUCCAGGUCUGUCCACGCUGCAGAAGACAGUCACUGUGUGUCCCUCCUACAGAUGGACUGGAUGCUCACCAGCUCCUGCCAAUGGAGAGACAUGAGGCCCUCAUGCAAACUGGCAGCCCUAGAGGAGAACCCACCAUACCUGCUGGACAGAAACAGUACCCAGAACCCUCAGUCUGCCUCUGCCUGACAUGGCCCUGGCUGCCUGGCCAACUGGCUUGUAGAAGAGGGAUAUUGACCUGAGUCAAGGGGACAGAGUUGGAGGCAUUGCAUUGUCACCUAGCAGCAGUAUGUCUGGGCAACAUGUGUUACCUCUCUUCCCCUUCCCCUGCCGGCCAGAUAUCCCUCAGAUGCAUCCUGGAUCCGGUGCUGUUCUUCGAGUAUAUGGCCUGCUUCAAGAUAAUGUACACUGCACAUCAGCUAAAUAAUUGUAAAGCAGCUAGUGUCUCCCAAGACGGAGCCCCCGCAAUGUCAGUGAUUUUGACAGGCAGAGAUGACUGCCACAGAUCGGAGGAUCAUAUCCUCUCAAGACAGCCUCCAGGGAAGAAGCACAGGAGUGACUUUCCAUCUCUUGAAUGUCUUCUUCUCCCUGGGGAAGAAGCACCUAAAUCUCCAGUCCACUUCCUCUCAGGCCCCACCUACCAGAUCUGGGUCACAGGCCCACCCCCUGCUGCCAGGACUGCGCUCUGGGGAGAACAGCUCCCUGGGGAUCAGCAGGCUGCACUGUUGCCCCCUGGAGGAUGCAGAAGGAAAGAGACACAGUGCCCGGACUCGCCAGCUCCGUGAUCCAAAGCUGAGAAGCCCCAGGCAGGCUUCAGACUCCUUUACUCUCUGCCUGUCACACCCCCAGGCCCCUCCUGCCAGGGGGAGCUCAAGGAAGUGAGUCCCCCCAGGUGGCGGGGAAGCCUGUCCUUUGGGAUGGAAAAGCCCAAGGCCGCACCAGCUCCCUGGCCACCAUCGUGCAAAGGCAGCAAGGCGGACAGUUGAAGGACGUGCAUUCUCCAGGGGCUUUGAUUCUUUUGAUGCCUGCUGAUGAAGGACAAGUCACUGUCUAUGAAGGGUCUACAAUGUCCCCAAAUUCUGCCCCUAAUGUCUCUUUAGAAGUCAAGCCUAUCCCUGCUAGUGGCAUUUGGGAGCUGAAUUAUAUCUUCUUUCAAAAAGAAUUAAAAAAGACUUCUCUCCAGAGAAGUAUUCAGAUGCCCAUGAACUCUGCCAUCAAAUAUGAAUAUUCUCUUAAAAAUAAAAAUUAUGGCGCAC